CCACCUGCCCCCAAUUUCUGUCAUCAGGAACAAACAAGAAAAUGAAGUCAUUUGCUGUUUGGGGGUUUGAAAUAGUAAAUGCCCUUACCUGAAAGUGCACAAGAACGAUGGCUGCCUUAUUCUGGUCUGCAGUGAAAAACAAGCCUAAAACUGAAACUUCCAACAAGAACCAGGAAUAGAAUCCACUCCAUCACAUUACAUGACCUGUAACAGGCAGGAACAAAGACUCGCACCCCCAGCGAAGUCCCAUUCCUGGUGGACUGCCGCUCACGGGCCCACAACAGCCUUGGCGGCCCUUUUUUCUUUAAAGACGCGCCAUCCUCUUCCCUAUUCCGAGAGGAGAGAACCCAGCACGCCCCAGCAAAGAACACAGAGGAGCCAGUUCUCCAGCAAAGAGACAGGAACAGGCUUUAAUCAGACGAAGAAUCAGUACACCCGUUAAGACAAAUUCUGUUUGCCUCUUUUUUUUUUUGGAAAUUCCUUCACAUACCAGCAGGGAAGAACAGUUUUCCUCAGGAAAUUAAAGCCGUGUGCAAGCCAGUGCUUCACUUUUGUGUUCUCGACGCACCCCCCCCGACUCCUGUGACUAUUUACAUUACAGUACCUCUUUGUGAUCAAACGGGGAGGCCAGGAGAGCAGUGCGCGUUUGUAUCACAGACGUGUGUGCCCAAGUUGAGAAAGGCAGAUCUGAUUAUUUAUAGAUUUGUACAUUAUACAUACAUAUACUGUACAUACAUACAUAUAUAUAUAGAUUUGUUUGUGUGUGUGUGUAUACACAGAUACAUUGCUCUCUUCUUUGAAGUAUUAAAAAAUUGAUCAAGCCUUCAAUCUAUAAAAAAUACCUAACUCUACAAGGUAGAAAACGAAAAACUUUCCCUCACCCAGUGUACACUGUUUUACACCCCCCCCCCAUUCCUCUUGAAAAUGUACAGUACAUGGAUCCUUUCUCCAAGCUGGAGGGGCAGGGGAGAGGCAGGCAGAAGUGCUGAAUUUGGAAGGAUGUUAUGGGUUUUGCCCAGUGAAAGAGCAGUUCCUUGCACAGGAAUCCCUCUGUUUCUAUUCCCUGCACUGGAAACCAACUUAGAAACGGCAAAAGCAGAAACCGAUAAAUUACAAUUUAAAAAAAUAUAUGUAUUUCCAACCUAACUCUGGCCCCGGUGUUGCCCAACCCUCUUUUGUAAGAUCAGACAAAUGCCACCCAUCUUAACCAUCACUUCGGAUCAGAGGUGUUCCAUUUUGUGCAUUUUCAAUUUUUUAAAAAAGCUUGCCGAGGCUUCACGGCAUUUGAGGGGUCUUGGAACUCAACCACUUGGUGCUAUCAAGGAAGAGGGGAGGCGAUCCUGCUUCUCUUUAAUGACGAGGUGCACUGGCGCUUCCUGAAGGCAUGAGAGAAGCCGUCACAUUUCUUAUGCUUAGAUGUAGUGUGGUUGUUUCAUAGGAGCUUCGAAAGGAGGGAAGGGAAAAGAGGUCCUUUCCUCACUUUAAGAGAUAGAAGAGGCAGCCACAAGCAGCUCAGACGGCCUGCUCCCUGCCAGAGUCAAAGCUUUCUUUGGAGUUCCAGUUACACCCUUUGGAGCUUCCUCCUCCUCAUAUAGCAGCAGGCACCAUCCAAUAUAGGUCUCCACGCCACUUUCCCUUUACCUAGUUGUGCCGUUAAGGAGAGAAGCCCCAGAAAAAAAGGAGGGCUUAAAACCAAUCCUCAAGGCCAAGAAAAAUCCCUCCAGUGGAAAAAGGGCACCUUUUAGUAAGGCGGAAAACAAUAUUUUCCCAAAAAAUGUGGGAUGGAUGGGUGAGAAAACAGACCCUUCCCCAGAUUGCCUAGUGAUCUGGUUCUUUUUAGCCUGGUGAUAGGGGGAGAAAAGCAGGAACAAGAAGCAUUGCUCACUUCCUUCUUAAACACAUACAAAUUCAGUGAGUGGUCCAAUUAUGCUAAGUACAGUAUAAUUCACCUUCCCCCCCUUUUUUAUGGCAGGGAGAAGCUUGACAUUUAAUUCUGACAUUAAUAGCACAUAGUCAAGAGGGCCUUCUUCUACCAUGUCAGCAUCAAUUCUGUCUUUAAUUUCUCCCCUUGAGAUCUACGGUCUCCAGUUGUCGUUGUUUUUUAAUUAGGUCAGUAUAUUCGUCAUUCCCACCCCAAAGUGACCCAAACAGGUGAGAAAAUAAAAGACGUGCAAUUCAAGUAAGAAAAGGUGUG
Molecule: long non-coding RNA, 2194 nt
Organism: Pogona vitticeps (central bearded dragon)
Lineage: Eukaryota; Metazoa; Chordata; Lepidosauria; Squamata; Agamidae
Source: Ensembl